GCUUUGGCAAAACAUAUACUGAAAUUGAAAUGAUACAAAGCAGAUUAGCAUGGCCUUUGCUCAAGGAUGACAUGCAAAUUGUGAAGCGUUCCACUUAAAG
This is a small nuclear RNA of Callithrix jacchus (white-tufted-ear marmoset), 100 nucleotides long. The record is from Ensembl. Lineage: Eukaryota; Metazoa; Chordata; Mammalia; Primates; Cebidae.